AUAUUCAGAAAGGACUCUUACUACUUGGGCUCUUUCAUGCAAGUGCAGUCAAGUGUUGGCUUGUGCUGCAGAAUUAUGAAAGCUUGACAGGCUGGACAUGCAAAAUAGCUCAUGUACAAGACUGGUAGUUAUUGUCCGUCUUCAGCUGGGAGAUCAUCUAGGUUGUUGAACUGGAGUGCCUAUACGUGGCCUUUCCAUUAUAUUGGUCUCAGGGUAGUUAGACAUUUACACAAAGACUCAGGGAUCCAAAAGUGAGUGUCCCAGCUCAUGAGAUGAAGGCUUCAUUAUCUUUUAUGACUUAACCUUAGAAGUCACAUGACAUCAUAUCUGCCACAUUCUGUUGGUUCCAUGUAAUCCACAUUCCUGCCCAGAUUCAAGGGAAGGGAAAUUGGACUCAACUUCUUGAUGGUGGAGGAGCAAGGCCAAGGAAAAGGAUGUGGGACGAAAGUAUUGAAAUCAGUUUUGGGAAGUGUAACCUGCCUCAAAUAUAACAUGAGAUCAGAAUCUUUAGAUGAGCCAAGAGGUGCCAAAAGAAGCCACACUGAAUGUAUAACUGAAGAAGGGAGCUGGGACUCCAAGAAAAAUACACAAGGGCAAAGUGGAAGCUGAGCCAGGAGGAUGGCUGAGGCUUCCCUGUAGGUGUUUUAUCUUUCAGAAAGUACGUGAACACCGACAGGUCAAGAGAUCCUCUUUGUCUUCCAUUUCCAGUCACAUCUGAGGAUCUGACCAAGAGGACUUUAAGUCAAGCAUUGAGACAAAGGAGAAAAACCAAUUUUUUUUUAUCACUAGUAGAUUUGACAGAAAACAUUGAUUAAGUUUGGUACCUACAAAUUAGAGCAAAGAUUGUGUCUCCCUGAAUACUCUGGAGAUUAAUAAAGAGAACUGAGUAGAUCCUUCACCAAGUGACCAGUGACAUAUGACUCUGAGCAGAAGGAGAGAAGAUAAGGCUUGUGACAAAGCAGCCCAAUCAUGAUGAUAUGAUUUCGUUUGUGUUUUAUUUUCAGAAGCUGUCCUACUAGGAAGCAUUUCAACACUCUCUGAAGACUCUCAGUUUCUCCACUAUGGGAGGGGUUGUUUUGGGGCUAUGUUGAUUUUCUUUAACUUGUAGAGGAAACCUCAACAUAAAGAAAAAUAAAGCCUGUGGCAGAAGAGAAGCUAUAGACAUUUCCCCAUUGUACUCAUGCUGAGAUCCAAAGCUGGAAAGUCACUCCCUGUAGUCAGAGCAGGGGCCUUCCUUCUCGGGGGAGGCGGCAAGUCAUUCGCAGGCCAGAGAUGAUGUUACGUGGAACAACCAAUGAAACAGUCAGACCGCUACACUUCCUUCUCAGAAUGCCCCAUCCCGGACUGGCCACUGCUCACAAAGCAAGAGGAUGAGACUGACGUCCAGAGAAGCCCUCAGUCAUUAUAAGAGCCACAGGAAAGGGAUCCCUAACCAUCAAAGUCUUUACUAGGAUCAUAAAAAGAUGAUCUGAUCUCCAGUGCCUACCAGGGAGGAAUAAUGGCACAGCACAGAGGGGCAGGAUGGAGACUGCAUCCUAACCAGGGCCCAACGUGUUUGUCAUCCCACCUGAUGAGAUGAAGCUGAA
This is a long non-coding RNA of Equus caballus (horse), 1586 nucleotides long. Lineage: Eukaryota; Metazoa; Chordata; Mammalia; Perissodactyla; Equidae. The record is from Ensembl.